This 697-nucleotide ribosomal RNA is filed under the name uncultured bacterium. RNAcentral describes it as "bacterial SSU rRNA". It matches the Rfam family "Bacterial small subunit ribosomal RNA", at positions 32 to 715 of the family's 1533-position model. The record is from RNAcentral.
AACGCUAGCUACAGGCUUAACACAUGCAAGUCGAGGGGAAACGACNUCGAAAGCUUGCUUUUGAUGGGCGUCGACCGGCGCACGGGUGAGUAACGCGUAUGCAACUUACCUAUCAGAGGAGAAUAGCUCAUCGAAAGAUGAAUUAAUGCUCCAUAAAACAGGGGUCCCGCAUGGGAAUAUUUGUUAAAGAUUCAUCGCUGAUAGAUAGGCAUGCGUUCCAUUAGGCAGUUGGCGGGGUAACGGCCCACCAAACCGACGAUGGAUAGGGGUUCUGAGAGGAAGGUCCCCCACAUUGGUACUGAGACACGGACCAAACUCCUACGGGAGGCAGCAGUGAGGAAUAUUGGUCAAUGGCCGAGAGGCUGAACCAGCCAAGUCGCGUGAAGGAAGAAGGAUCUAUGGUUUGUAAACUUCUUUUAUACGGGAAUAAAGUGAGUCACGUGUGGCUUUUUGUAUGUACCGUAUGAAUAAGCAUCGGCUAACUCCGUGCCAGCAGCCGCGGUAAUACGGAGGAUGCGAGCGUUAUCCGGAUUUAUUGGGUUUAAAGGGUGCGUAGGUGGUCUUUUAAGUCAGCGGUGAAAGUUUGUGGCUCAACCAUAAAAUUGCCAUUGAAACUGGGAGACUUGAGUAUGUUUGAGGUAGGCGGAAUGCGUGGUGUAGCGGUGAAAUGCAUAGAUAUCACGAAGAACUCCGAUUG